AAUUGAUAUUGAAAUGUGAAAUUUUGUUUUUAUUAACUCUUAAUAUAUGCAGUUUUCAUGAACGAGGUCCUCAUUUUGUUGUCUCUCCCCAUCAGUUAGACUCUUGUCCUGCGUAUGAGAACAUCUCAGACACUGCAGCACAGACAGAAGACCCAGAGGAGCAGGAAGACCUGGUGUGAAGUCCAGUCAGAUGCAGCUGAACCAGAGGCGGGACUCACCUGAUGGAAACAAAGUAGUACGACAUUGAAAUAUCCCUGAGGAGAGCGAGGCUGUGGAGGGUGGGGGGGAAGUGGAUACAUUUACCUUCAACUCCAGAAGAUUUUAUUGUCAGUUUUGAGUAGCAGCAGCAGAAUUACUGAAAAUAUACUGGCCCCAUUUUCAUGAUACCUGGUGAAAGGGUGUAGAUUGGCCCUAGGAAGAAACCAUUACAUUUUGGAGCGGAUCCGAACUACGGUUUUCUAACAACAGAGGAGAGGCAUCUUUAAAGACGACGUCCGUCUUCAUUAGAGAUGAGAGGAGCAGCUAUGAGUUUAACUGCAGCAGCGAGUGGAUUUGUUGU
Long non-coding RNA from Perca fluviatilis (European perch), 559 nucleotides. RefSeq lists it as uncharacterized. Lineage: Eukaryota; Metazoa; Chordata; Actinopteri; Perciformes; Percidae. The transcript has 6 exons. The record is from RefSeq and is a predicted model, not a curated record.